This 468-nucleotide ribosomal RNA is filed under the name uncultured bacterium. RNAcentral describes it as "partial 16S ribosomal RNA". It matches the Rfam family "Bacterial small subunit ribosomal RNA", at positions 28 to 507 of the family's 1533-position model. The record is from RNAcentral.
GACGAACGCUGGCGGCGUGCUUAACACAUGCAAGUCGAACGGAAAGGCCCUGCUUUUGUGGGGUGCUCGAGUGGCGAACGGGUGAGUAACACGUGAGUAACCUGCCCUUGACUUUGGGAUAACUUCAGGAAACUGGGGCUAAUACCGGAUAGGAGCUCCUGCUGCAUGGUGGGGGUUGGAAAGUUUCGGCGGUUGGGGAUGGACUCGCGGCUUAUCAGCUUGUUGGUGGGGUAGUGGCAUACCAAGGCUUUGACGGGUAGCCGGCCUGAGAGGGUGACCGGCUACAUUGGGACUGAGAUACGGCCCAGACCACUACGGUAGGCAGCAGUGGGGAAUAUUGCACAAUGGGCGGAAGCAUGAUGCAGCAACGCCGCGUGCGGGAUGACGGCCUUCGGGUUGGAAACCGCUUUCGCCUGUGACGAAGCGUGAGUGACGGUAAUGGGUAAAGAAGCACCGGCUAACUACGUG